UACGAAGGGGGCUAGCGUUGCUCGGAAUCACUGGGCGUAAAGGGUGCGUAGGCGGGUCUUUAAGUCAGGGGUGAAAUCCUGGAGCUCAACUCCAGAACUGCCUUUGAUACUGAAGAUCUUGAGUUCGGGAGAGGUGAGUGGAACUGCGAGUGUAGAGGUGAAAUUUGUAGAUAUUCGCAAGAACACCAGUGGCGAAGGCGGCUCACUGGCCCGAUACUGACGCUGAGGCACGAAAGCGUGGGGAGCAAACAGG
Molecule: ribosomal RNA, 253 nt
Filed under: uncultured bacterium
Lineage: Bacteria
Description: partial 16S ribosomal RNA
Rfam family: Bacterial small subunit ribosomal RNA
Source: RNAcentral